UACUCCUACGGGAGGCAGCAGUAGGGAAUCUUCCGCAAUGGGCGAAAGCCUGACGGAGCAACGCCGCGUGAGUGAUGAAGGUCUUCGGAUCGUAAAACUCUGUUAUUAGGGAAGAACAUAUGUGUAAGUAACUGUGCGCAUCUUGACGGUACCUAAUCAGAAAGCCACGGCUAACUACGUGCCAGCAGCCGCGGUAAUACGUAGGUGGCAAGCGUUAUCCGGAAUUAUUGGGCGUAAAGCGCGCGCAGGCGGUUUUUUAAGUCUGAUGUGAAAGCCCACGGCUCAACCGUGGAGGGUCAUUGGAAACUGGAAAACUUGAGUGCAGAAGAGGAAAGUGGAAUUCCAUGUGUAGCGGUGAAAUGCGCAGAGAUAUGGAGGAACACCAGUGGCGAAGGCGACUUUCUGGUCUGUAACUGACGCUGAUGUGCGAAAGCGUGGGGGUCAAACAGGAUUAGAUACCCUGGUAGUCCACGCCGUAAACGAUGAGUGCUAAGUGUUAGGGGGUUUCCGCCCCUUAGUGCUGCAGCUAACGCAUUAAGCACUCCGCCUGGGGAGUACGACCGCAAGGUUGAAACUCAAAGGAAUUGACGGA
This 592-nucleotide ribosomal RNA is filed under the name uncultured bacterium. RNAcentral describes it as "bacterial SSU rRNA". It matches the Rfam family "Bacterial small subunit ribosomal RNA", at positions 334 to 917 of the family's 1533-position model. The record is from RNAcentral.